GAUGAACGCUGGCGGCGUGCCUAAUACAUGCAAGUCGAGCGAACAGAUGAGGAGCUUGCUCCUCUGACGUUAGCGGCGGACGGGUGAGUAACACGUGGAUAACCUACCUAUAAGACUGGGAUAACUUCGGGAAACCGGAGCUAAUACCGGAUAAUAUAUUGAACCGCAUGGUUCAAUAGUGAAAGACGGUUUUGCUGUCCCUUAUAGAUGGAUCCGCGCCGCAUUAGCUAGUUGGUAAGGUAACGGCUUACCAAGGCGACGAUGCGUAGCCGACCUGAGAGAGUGAACAGCCACACUGGAACUGAGACACGGUCCAGACUCCUACGGGAGGCAGCAGUAGGGAAUCUUCCGCAAUGGGCGAAAGCCUGACGGAGCAACGCCGCGUGAGUGAUGAAGGUCUUCGGAUCGUAAAACUCUGUUGUUAGGGAAGAACAAAUGUGUAAGUAACUAUGCACGUCUUGACGGUACCUAAUCAGAAAGCCACGGCUAACUACGUG
Molecule: ribosomal RNA, 497 nt
Filed under: uncultured bacterium
Lineage: Bacteria
Description: partial 16S ribosomal RNA
Rfam family: Bacterial small subunit ribosomal RNA
Source: RNAcentral